Molecule: ribosomal RNA, 1211 nt
Filed under: uncultured Halomonas sp.
Lineage: Bacteria; Pseudomonadati; Pseudomonadota; Gammaproteobacteria; Oceanospirillales; Halomonadaceae
Description: bacterial SSU rRNA
Rfam family: Bacterial small subunit ribosomal RNA
Source: RNAcentral
CGCAUACGUCCUACGGGAGAAAGGGGGCUUCGGCUCCCGCUAUUGGAUGAGCCUAUGUCGGAUUAGCUAGUUGGUGAGGUAAAGGCUCACCAAGGCAACGAUCCGUAGCUGGUCUGAGAGGAUGAUCAGCCACAUCGGGACUGAGACACGGCCCGAACUCCUACGGGAGGCAGCAGUGGGGAAUAUUGGACAAUGGGGGCAACCCUGAUCCAGCCAUGCCGCGUGUGUGAAGAAGGCCCUCGGGUUGUAAAGCACUUUCAGCGAGGAAGAACGCCUGGCGGUUAAUACCCGCCAGGAAAGACAUCACUCGCAGAAGAAGCACCGGCUAACUCCGUGCCAGCAGCCGCGGUAAUACGGGGGGUGCAAGCGUUAAUCGGAAUUACUGGGCGUAAAGCGCGCGUAGGUGGCUUGAUAAGCCGGUUGUGAAAGCCCCGGGCUCAACCUGGGAACGGCAUCCGGAACUGUCAGGCUAGAGUGCAGGAGAGGAAGGUAGAAUUCCCGGUGUAGCGGUGAAAUGCGUAGAGAUCGGGAGGAAUACCAGUGGCGAAGGCGGCCUUCUGGACUGACACUGACACUGAGGUGCGAAAGCGUGGGUAGCAAACAGGAUUAGAUACCCUGGUAGUCCACGCCGUAAACGAUGUCGACCAGCCGUUGGGUGCCUAGCGCACUUUGUGGCGAAGUUAACGCGAUAAGUCGACCGCCCGGGGAGUACGGCCGCAAGGUUAAAACUCAAAUGAAUUGACGGGGGCCCGCACAAGCGGUGGAGCAUGUGGUUUAAUUCGAUGCAACGCGAAGAACCUUACCUACCCUUGACAUCCUGCGAACCCGGAAGAGAUUCCGGGGUGCCUUCGGGAACGCAGAGACAGGUGCUGCAUGGCUGUCGUCAGCUCGUGUUGUGAAAUGUUGGGUUAAGUCCCGUAACGAGCGCAACCCUUGUCCUUAUUUGCCAGCGCGUAAUGGCGGGAACUCUAAGGAGACUGCCGGUGACAAACCGGAGGAAGGUGGGGACGACGUCAAGUCAUCAUGGCCCUUACGGGUAGGGCUACACACGUGCUACAAUGGCCGGUACAAAGGGCUGCGAGCUCGCGAGAGUCAGCGAAUCCCUUAAAGCCGGUCUCAGUCCGGAUCGGAGUCUGCAACUCGACUCCGUGAAGUCGGAAUCGCUAGUAAUCGUGAAUCAGAAUGUCACGGUGAAUACGUUCCCGGGCCUU